UCGGGGGUGGUGUAAUCGGCAACACAACAGUUUCUGGUACUGUUAUUCGGGGUUCGAGUCCCUGCCCCCGAGCUA
RNAcentral lists this transfer RNA (75 nucleotides) under uncultured Acidimicrobiales bacterium. RNAcentral describes it as "tRNA-Gln-CTG". It matches the Rfam family "tRNA". From Rfam's summary of the family: Transfer RNA (tRNA) molecules are approximately 80 nucleotides in length. Their secondary structure includes four short double-helical elements and three loops (D, anti-codon, and T loops). Further hydrogen bonds mediate the characteristic L-shaped molecular structure. tRNAs have two regions of fundamental functional importance: the anti-codon, which is responsible for specific mRNA codon recognition, and the 3' end, to which the tRNAs corresponding amino acid is attached (by aminoacyl-tRNA synthetases). tRNAs cope with the degeneracy of the genetic code in two manners: having more than one tRNA (with a specific anti-codon) for a particular amino acid; and 'wobble' base-pairing, i.e. permitting non-standard base-pairing at the 3rd anti-codon position. The record is from RNAcentral. Lineage: Bacteria; Bacillati; Actinomycetota; Acidimicrobiia; Acidimicrobiales.